GGCGCCACCUGCGGCGCGCGCGCGCGCCCUUCCAGCCCUGCGCGCGCGGCCCCGACGACACCGCGAACUUCGACCUCGUGGAGGAGGGUCACGUGCAGCGGGACCCCCCCCCGGAGCCCUGGGACCCCCCAGACCUGGGGCUGCAGCUGCCGUUUGUGGGGUACUCGUAUGUGCGAGGGGACCCCGAGGAAGAGGAAGAGGAGGAGGAGG
Melopsittacus undulatus (budgerigar) is the source of this 210-nucleotide long non-coding RNA. RefSeq lists it as uncharacterized. The record is from RefSeq and is a predicted model, not a curated record. The transcript is spliced from 3 exons. NCBI's taxonomy places the organism in Eukaryota, Metazoa, Chordata, Aves, Psittaciformes, Psittaculidae.